This 29-nucleotide small RNA is filed under the name Bombyx mori (domestic silkworm). RNAcentral describes it as "ovarian small RNA-23556". Lineage: Eukaryota; Metazoa; Arthropoda; Insecta; Lepidoptera; Bombycidae. The record is from RNAcentral.
UAUCAUUACAUUGCUCUUGGAUGGAUUAA